UAGUCGUUGGGUCCUUGAGGACUUAGUGACGCAGCUAACGCAAUAAGUAGACCGCCUGGGGAGUACGGCCGCAAGGUUAAAACUCAAAUGAAUUGACGGGGGCCCGCACAAGCGGUGGAGCAUGUGGUUUAAUUCGAUGCAACGCGAAGAACCUUACCUGGUCUUGACAUAUCUAGAAUCCUGCAGAGAUGCGGGAGUGCCUUCGGGAAUUAGAAUACAGGUGCUGCAUGGCUGUCGUCAGCUCGUGUCGUGAGAUGUUGGGUUAAGUCCCGCAACGAGCGCAACCCUUGUCCUUAGUUACCAGCGGGUUAAGCCGGGAACUCUAAGGAUACUGCCAGUGACAAACUGGAGGAAGGCGGGGACGACGUCAAGUCAUCAUGGCCCUUACGACCAGGGCUACACACGUGCUACAAUGGUAGGUACAGAGGGCAGCUACACAGCGAUGUGAUGCGAAUCUCAAAAAGCCUAUCGUAGUCCAGAUUGGAGUCUGCAACUCGACUCCAUGAAGUAGGAAUCGCUAGUAAUCGCGGAUCAGAAUGCCGCGGUGAAUACGUUCCCGGGCCUUGUACACUCCGCC
RNAcentral lists this ribosomal RNA (577 nucleotides) under uncultured bacterium. Its description in RNAcentral is "bacterial SSU rRNA". It matches the Rfam family "Bacterial small subunit ribosomal RNA", at positions 817 to 1394 of the family's 1533-position model. The record is from RNAcentral.